ACAGAUAGGCAGAAGACAGGAUCAUGGUCAGAAGUUAUAUAUGCAGCCAGGGGAAUGUGAAGCAGCUGACCGAACAGGGAGGAGCUGCGCAUUUUGCUUCAGGCAGUUCAGUCCUGUGCUGUCGGCCAAGUUUGAACAAUAAUUUCGUCUUCAACCAAAAUCAAGUGCGAUUGGAAAACGUACCAAACCGCUGCAGCACAUUUUGGGGACAGACAAAUUCGUUUCUGUUACAAUGGGAAGCUGGAAGAAUCACGUGCGCGCUCGACUGCAACAGAGAGACCACACUGAGAAACUGCCAUACUUUGGCGUGUUCACAAGAUUGUGUCAGAUGGAGGAACGUUUUGAAAUUCGCAAACAAAUUUUGGAUGAUGUUCAGUCUAAGAGUUCAGGCCAAGUGGGAUUUGAAGUUGGGAAAAACACCAAACUCCUUCAACUCCAACUGAAAGAGAGUGAACACCUGGCAGAAAAGCUGUCUCAGACUGUCUCCGACCUGACCACUGUCCUGUGUCUGAAAGAGGCUGAACGGCAGUACUUGCAGUCACGUGUGUCCCACUACCGUCAAGAGGCUCUUACUCUGGCAAAAGGGAGUAACACCCUGAAGGCGACCCUUUAUGAAUUUGAGUUCACCAUCGAGUGUCAAUCCAAAGAGUUGGCAGCCCUGCGUGCGGAGCAGAAAGGACUAAAUCAGGCGUUGGCACAGGCCUGGAGAGAGAAAGAGGAACUCUUACAACGAUGGAUGGAGGAGAAGAGGGGGGAGGCAGACCGGUUGAAUAAGUACAACGACACACAGGAAAGGUGGCAACGUUUGGCCAAACAGCUGAAGAAGCACCUCCGUAGUGAGGUGAGAAAAGACUGUUUCCAAAGGGACGAGCUCUUGGAGUGGUGAAACAGAAACGCCUGCAUCCGUCAUUCAGAGGAUCAUGAUAGACACCAGGGACACUCAGAACACGACCAUGUCUCAGCUGUGGCAAAAGUCUAAUAUUCCCAUGGGAUAACAGUUCAGCACUGCGAUUACCUUUCUGUACAUUUCACCCUCCUACAUCAGCUUGUAGUUUAAAAAAACUAUUUGCCCAUAUGUAACGCCAGAAAUGUAAAGAAGGAUUGACCCCUUUGCAACUAGAAGUGUUGGUUUCUUAUUUGUUGUUUUAAUUAGCCUAAAUUGUUUAAAAAUCCUCCAUAUUCUCUAAAUUAAUUGUUUAAUUUAGAAUUUCCUAAUUGCCUAAUUUUACAUUUUCUGCUUUAACUAAAAUCCCCUUUUCCCCCCAAAUAAUGUCAAUUACACUCCAGCUAAGUUAUCACAUCUGGACUUUGUCCUGAUUGACACCCCUCACUAAAGGUACCAUUUGAGGUGAUAAACCACACAAACACAACCUCUGCUCAUCUUUGUUCACAUCAUUUAAAUUGCAGGAGCUGGAGUUGUUUUAAAUGUUUAUUUGCAAAGAAAAUCAUGUAAAUAAUUUUUAUUUCCUAGUUUAAAAAGUGUAUUUGAGAAGAAUUUAAUAACCGGGGAUCGUUGUAUUGUACUUAAUUUUUUUUACACAUUUUAAUUAACUUUGAAUUAUUAACAUUUCUUAUUAAAAUGGAAAAACAACUAUCCCAGAUGAUUAUGUUAUUGUGUAUAUAUAUGUAUGUAUGUAUGUAUGUAUUGUUGUUUUACCAAAUCCAGUGUUGUGAAAAAUAAAGUCACUUGUACGCAAAUUUUGUAUUUUGAAAAAAAGAAAAGUGUUCUUUUAAUUCUCAAACACGCAUCAAUUUAAUGGCAUUUUGACAAAGGAGAAAAAAGGCAAAGAAAUCCUACUUUGUACAUUUAACUACUUAAUUAGCUAUAAUUUAAUAUUCAACAAAAUCUGCUUUUUUUUGUAUUUCCUUUUUAAUACCAGAAUUCCAGUUCCACAUCUCCAUGGCAAAUUGAGAUCACAUUUCAUGUUGUUUUUGCAGGCAGCAACAUGUUCCCAUAGUCACCAGUGUGUUUGCAUUAGUUGUUGAGUUGGACAGUGUGUGUGUGUGUGUGUGUGUGCUGUAUUAGCGACGCUAGUCAGUGAACUCUCAAACUAUAUUAAAAUGGUAAAAGGUGGAAAGCGAUAUUCUUCAAUGAGCAAUGAUGGCAAAUGGGUAAGAAAUUCCUAAUUUCAACACAUAAUCAGAUGAUUACAAAUCAUAACAUUCAAACCUGGCUGUGUAAUGAGCUUUUCUUUCAUUUUCUUCCCAGUUUGCUCAUCCAGUUUUACCAGAAAAUGAGACGAGGAGUCGUGAGGCUUGUACAAGCACUGGGAUCGUGACUCCGGUUAAAUCAUCAGUGCCUCAGGCUUUGAACUUGGAGCGCUAUCCUAAAUGGAAAACUCAGCAGGUAUGUAUGCACAGUAGAUAAUAAAGUGGGUUUUUUUCACAGUAUAUAUGGCCCAAGGCAUUGAAAGAUAAAUAUUUUUGCUUCACUUAUUAAAGCACUUCUGCAAAGAAAGAAACUACAUCCUCAUUGUAUCCCAUUCGACUGUCUUCAGUUGUAUAUACUGUCCUCUCAAUAUGAGUUUCUUUACAGAAAUCCAGAGAAUAUCCAUUCUCCUGCCAUGACAACAAGCAUGCCUUAAAAGACAACAUCACUGUCUUCACUCAAGUGAGUAUAAAGAGAAAUUCAGGCCAUAAUAAAAUCCAUAAGAUCCAUCAUGUUGACGCAAAAACAUAUUUUCUAUAACAUGUUGGUGUACUUCAGGGUGUGGGACGCAAGAAGUGUCUUGAUGAGCACAGACUGCACAACUCUCACUUCUGCAUGUGCCACGAUGGAGCUUACAGCAGCCCUGAGGGGAACGUCUCGGUCCACCAGACUGACUUCACGAUAAAACCGGUUGUUAAUGUUCCAACCAGCACCAGACGUUUCCCCCGCAACCACAAGCAGAAGGCAGCAGAGGCCGCUUUGGCGCAGGCAGGGGAGAAUUUCAUGUGGUUCGGACGACACGACUCAAACGCCUCAGAGACCCUGCAAGUGCUGGCAGCUACUAAUUGCUCAGCACCAUCCAAGCCCUAACAUACUCCUACAUUUAAGGCACUAGAUGGCAUCAUAGAGAGGGACAGACAGGGAAAAUAGGAAACCUUACAAACAAGAUUUGUUCCACAACAACCCCAAUUAGACUGGAAAGUGGACUAUUCCAAUCCACUUGAUGUACUAACAAAAUAGCAUUUGUGCAUCUUAAAAUAUUUGGAUUUGCAUUUGAAAAUGAUAUUUUGAGACAUCAAGUUGUAUUUAAAAAUACUUUUACUCGCAUAAUCUAUACAAACUUGAAAUGUGAUAUCCAUGUACUCAUAUUACUCUUUCAGGUAUGUUUUCAACAUAUUUAAAGGGGGCACUUCAGUGAUUUGUCAUUAUAAUUUUUUUUAAGGUGGUGGGACUCAAAAAAGACAGAUUAAAAAGAAUGAUCAAAAAAGACGCAGAGAUAUCUGGACUUUUUUUCUCAAGUGUGGGUCAAGCUCCAAAAACACCAGAUACUACAUAUCCCAUAAUGCAACUAAAUUGCAUCUUUUGUUAGAGCUUCUCUCUUUGGUGAAGUACAUUUAGCACAAUUUUAGUAUGUCAAAAAUUGCACAUUUAUUUUAGGACAUUGAUCAUGUGUGCAUAUGGAAGCACACUUAGUAUAUUAACAUGAAAUAUAA
This 3642-nucleotide long non-coding RNA is filed under the name Cottoperca gobio. RNAcentral describes it as "lncRNA (ENSCGOG00000022984.1)". Lineage: Eukaryota; Metazoa; Chordata; Actinopteri; Perciformes; Bovichtidae. The record is from RNAcentral.